Molecule: ribosomal RNA, 372 nt
Filed under: uncultured bacterium
Lineage: Bacteria
Description: bacterial SSU rRNA
Rfam family: Bacterial small subunit ribosomal RNA
Source: RNAcentral
AGCGAACGCUAGCGGGUGGCUUAACACAUGCAAGUCGAGCGGGGUCUUCGGGCCCAGCGGCGAACGGGUGAGUAACACGUAGGAUAUCUGCCUUUUGGUGGGGCAUAGCCGGGGGAAACCCCGAUUAAUACCGCAUAUGGCCUAUGGGUCAAAGCCUUCGGGCGCCAAGAGAGGAGCCUGCGGCCCAUUAUUUAAUCCUAGUUGGUGGGGUAAUGGCCUACCAAGGGUACGAUGGGUAGCUGGUCUGAGAGGACGAUCAGCCACACUGGAACUGAGACACGGUCCAGACUCCUACGGGAGGCAGCAGUGGGGAAUAUUGCGCAAUGGGCGGAAGCCUGACGCAGCCAACCCGCGUGUGUGAUGAAGGCCUUC